AAAACAAAUCAAUUGAUGGGAAGGUGGGGUGAUCGCCUUCGUCCAAUACUCCACUGCGUGCGACCCGGCAUAUUAUGUAAUGCUGCAAGAAAACUAGGUCGUUCAGUGCGAAUUACUGAAUAUCGUUAUUGAUCGAUAAAAAUCUAUCGAAACGUGUGUCCGUUCAGAUUAGUUGUUUUCGUCACCGACGGUUUUCUUUCGUCGCGUACAGAUAUAAA
This is a non-coding RNA of Cinara cedri, 218 nucleotides long. NCBI's taxonomy places the organism in Eukaryota, Metazoa, Arthropoda, Insecta, Hemiptera, Aphididae. The record is from the annotation of a GenBank genome assembly.